CCAAAGCUGCCAGUCUGCAGGGAGCUGCCAGUCUGCAGGGAGCCGCCAGAGCUGCCAGUCUGCAAGGAGCCGCCAGAGCUGCCAGUCUGCAAGGAGCCGCCAGAGCUGCCAGUCUGCAAGGAGCCGCCAGAGCUGCCAGUCUGCAAGGGGCCGCCAGAGCUGCCAGAGCUGCCAGUCUGCAAGGAGCCGCCAGAGCUGCCAGUCUGCAAGGGGCCGCCAGAGCUGCCAGAGCUGCCAGUCUGCAAGGAGCCGCCAGAGCUGCCAGUCUGCAAGGAGCCGCCAGAGCUGCCAGUCUGCAAGGAGCCGCCAGAGCUGCCAGUCUGCAAGGAGCCGCCAGAGCUGCCAGUCUGCAAGGAGCCGCCAGAGCUGCCAGUCUGCAAGGAGCCGCCAGAGCUGCCAGUCUGCAAGGAGCUGCCAGAGCUGCCAGUCUGCAAGGAGCCGCCAGAGCUGCCAGUCUGCAAGGAGCCGCCAGAGCUGCCAGUCUGCAAGGAGCCGCCAGAGCUGCCAGUCUGCAAGGAGCCGCCAGAGCUGCCAGUCUGCAAGGAGCCGCCAGAGCUGCCAGUCUGCAAGGAGCCGCCAGAGCAGCCAGUCUGCAAGGAGCCGCCAGUCUGCAAGGAGCCGCCAGGGCCGCCAGUCAGCAUGGAGCAGCCAGGGACGCCAGUCAGCAUGGAGCAGCCAGGGCCGCCAGUCAGCAUGGAGCAGCCAGGGCCGCCAGUCAGCAUGGAGCAGCCAGGGCCGCCAGUCAGCAUGGAGCAGCCAGAGCAGCCAGUCAGCAUGGAGCAGCCAGAGCAGCCAGUCAGCAUGGAGCAGCCAGUCAGCAUGGAGCAUCCAGUCAGCAUGGAGCAGCCAGUCAGCAUGGAGCAGCCAGUCAGCAUGGAGCAGCCAGAGCUGCCAGUCAGCAUGGAGCCGCCAGUCUGCAUGGAGCAGCCAGAGUUGCCAGUCAGCAUGGAGCAGCCAGAGCUGCCAGUCAGCAUGGAGCAGCCAGUCAGCAUGGAGCAGCCAGAGUUGCCAGUCAGCAUGGAGCAGCCAGAACUGCCAGUCGACCAGACACUUCCAGAUCUGCCAGUCGACCAGAUCUGCCAGUCGACCAGACUCUUCCAGAUCUGCCAGUCGACCAGACUCUUCCAGAUCUGCCAGUCGACCAGACUCUUCCAGAUCUGCCAGUCGACCAGACUCUUCCAGAU
This 1184-nucleotide long non-coding RNA is filed under the name Oncorhynchus mykiss (rainbow trout). RNAcentral's name for it is "lncRNA (ENSOMYG00000058428.1)". The record is from RNAcentral. Lineage: Eukaryota; Metazoa; Chordata; Actinopteri; Salmoniformes; Salmonidae.